RNAcentral lists this long non-coding RNA (458 nucleotides) under Chinchilla lanigera (long-tailed chinchilla). RNAcentral describes it as "lncRNA (ENSCLAG00000022846.1)". Lineage: Eukaryota; Metazoa; Chordata; Mammalia; Rodentia; Chinchillidae. The record is from RNAcentral.
AGACUAGAUACGUUACCUCAAGGGCAGGUUGUUAUGAAGUGAAGUUGCCUCUUACCUUCUCUGACUUCUUUGUAGGCAUCUGAUUGUCCUUCCGCUUUUCCACCAGGCUGAAGCAGCCAAGGCUUCCAUUGGAGGCGUGCAGAGGCUGGAACCGUGCUCUUGGACUUCCUGCCCUCCAGAACCACUGGGAAAAAGAAUCCUCUGUCCUUUAUUAGUGAACCAAUCCCAGGCACUUAGCAACAGAAAACAGGGGAAAGCAACUAGAAUCCAGCCAAGACUGAAGCAAUGAUGCCAGGAUAUUGAUGCCAAGGUCCCAAAGCGUGCACCUGGGGUGGUUGGCAGGAGAGAAGGCAGACAGGCAAACCUUUGAAUCUUCUGCCUGCUUUUCUCCACAGGGCAUGUGCGUCUUAUUGGAGUUAGGACUUCCCAAUAGGCGUCCACAAGCAAUCGCUUCAUGA